AAAACUUCGCAAUGCGUGCAAGCGUGACGAGGGGAUCCCAAGUGCCGAUGGUCUUUCUGAUCGUCGGCUUUUCAAGAGUUUAAAUCGCUCUUGGAAUAAGAGCUGGGUAAGACUGGUGCCAGCAGCCGCGGUAA
This 134-nucleotide ribosomal RNA is filed under the name uncultured archaeon. Its description in RNAcentral is "partial 16S ribosomal RNA". It matches the Rfam family "Archaeal small subunit ribosomal RNA", at positions 343 to 473 of the family's 1478-position model. The record is from RNAcentral.